GACGAACGCUGGCGGCGUGCUUAACACAUGCAAGUCGAACGCUGAAGCUUGGUGCUUGCACUGGGUGGAUGAGUGGCGAACGGGUGAGUAAUAAGUGAGUAACCUGCCCUUGACUCUGGGAUAAGCCUGGGAAACUGGUUCUAAUACUGGAUACGACAUGUCACCGCAUGGUGGUGUGUGGAAUGGGUUUUACUGGUUUUGGAUGGGCUCACGGCCUAUCAGCUUGUUGGUGGGGUAAUGGCUCACCAAGGCGACGACGGGUAGCCGGCCUGAGAGGGUGACCGGCCACAAUGGGACUGAGAGACGGCCCAGACUCCUACGGGAGGCAGCAGUGGGGAAUAUUGCACAAUGGGCGGAAGCCUGAGGCAGCGACGCCGCGUGAGGGAUGACGGCCUUCGGGUUGUAAACCUCUUUCAGCACGGAAGAAGCGAAAGUGACGGUACGUGCAGAAGAAGCGCCGGCUAACUACGUG
RNAcentral lists this ribosomal RNA (472 nucleotides) under uncultured bacterium. RNAcentral's name for it is "partial 16S ribosomal RNA". It matches the Rfam family "Bacterial small subunit ribosomal RNA", at positions 28 to 507 of the family's 1533-position model. The record is from RNAcentral.